RNAcentral lists this microRNA precursor (189 nucleotides) under Oryza rufipogon (brownbeard rice). RNAcentral's name for it is "MIR812 microRNA precursor family". It matches the Rfam family "MIR812 microRNA precursor family", at positions 1 to 166 of the family's 205-position model. The record is from Rfam by way of RNAcentral. Lineage: Eukaryota; Viridiplantae; Streptophyta; Magnoliopsida; Poales; Poaceae.
AAAAAGACAAACCCUGGGUUUCCAUGUCCAAUGUUUGACUGUCCGUCUUAUAUGAAAAUUUUUUAUAAUUAGUAUUUUCAUUGUUGUUAGAUGAUAAAACAUGAUUAAUACUUUAUGCAUGACUUGUCUUUUUAAUUUUUUUCAUAACUAGCAAUAGUGCCCGUGCGUUGCAACGGGAAAAACACCGUU